AACUUUUAGCAAUGGGUCUCUUGGCUCUCGCGUCGAUGAAGAACGCAGCGAAAUGCGAUACGUAAUGUGAAUUGCAGAAUUCAGUGAAUCAUCGAAUCUUUGAACGCAUAUUGCGCUCUCUGGUAUUCCGGAGAGCAUGCUUGUUUGAGUAUCAGUAAACACCUCAAAUCCCUCUACUUGUUGGAGGAAUUUGGACUUGAGCAAUCCCAACUUUUCGAAAGAGAAGGCGGGUUGCUUGAAAUGCAGGUGCAGCUAGAUUUUUCUUCUGAGCUAUAAGCAUACUUAUUUAAUCCCGUAAAACGGAUUAUUACUUUUGCUGCAGCUAACAUAAAGGUUGAAGAGUCGCGAUGGCUGACUGAUGCAGGAUUAACAUUUCGCGUAAGCGAUUUGUAAACUCGAUCUCAAAUCAAGCAAGACUACCCGCUGAACUUAAGCAUAUCAAUAAGCGGAGGCU
RNAcentral lists this unclassified non-coding RNA (454 nucleotides) under uncultured Mortierella. RNAcentral's name for it is "sequence contains ITS2". The stretch from base 1 to 154 matches the Rfam family "5.8S ribosomal RNA". The record is from RNAcentral. Lineage: Eukaryota; Fungi; Mortierellomycota; Mortierellomycetes; Mortierellales; Mortierellaceae.